UAGGGAAUCUUCCACAAUGGGCGCAAGCCUGAUGGAGCAACACCGCGUGAGUGAGGAAGGGUUUCGGCUCGUAAAGCUCUGUUGUUAAAGAAGAACACGUAUGAGAGUAACUGUUCAUACGUUGACGGUAUUUAACCAGAAAGUCACGGCUAACUACGUGCCAGCAGCCGCGGUAAUACGUAGGUGGCAAGCGUUAUCCGGAUUUAUUGGGCGUAAAGAGAGUGCAGGCGGUUUUCUAAGUCUGAUGUGAAAGCCUUCGGCUUAACCGGAGAAGUGCAUCGGAAACUGGAUAACUUGAGUGCAGAAGAGGGUAGUGGAACUCCAUGUGUAGCGGUGGAAUGCGUAGAUAUAUGGAAGAACACCAGUGGCGAAGGCGGCUACCUGGUCUGCAACUGACGCUGAGACUCGAAAGCAUGGGUAGCGAACAGGAUUAGAUACCCUGGUAGUCCAUGCCGUAAACGAUGAGUGCUAGGUGUUGGAGGGUUUCCGCCCUUCAGUGCCGGAGCUAACGCAUUAAGCACUCCGCCUGGGGAGUACGACCGCAAGGUUG
This 550-nucleotide ribosomal RNA is filed under the name uncultured bacterium. RNAcentral describes it as "bacterial SSU rRNA". It matches the Rfam family "Bacterial small subunit ribosomal RNA", at positions 355 to 896 of the family's 1533-position model. The record is from RNAcentral.